Non-coding RNA from Phoenix dactylifera (date palm), 84 nucleotides. The record is from RefSeq and is a predicted model, not a curated record. NCBI's taxonomy places the organism in Eukaryota, Viridiplantae, Streptophyta, Magnoliopsida, Arecales, Arecaceae.
GAGCGAUGAGGACAACCGCGCUCGAGUGAUGCUGGGCGCAUCACAACCGUCUGAUCAUCGGACGAUGACAGCGCUCCUGGGCUC